Molecule: ribosomal RNA, 460 nt
Filed under: uncultured bacterium
Lineage: Bacteria
Description: partial 16S ribosomal RNA
Rfam family: Bacterial small subunit ribosomal RNA
Source: RNAcentral
CCUACGGGAGGCAGCAGUGAGGAAUAUUGGUCAAUGGGCGGGAGCCUGAACCAGCCAAGUCGCGUGAGGGAAGACGGUCCUAUGGAUUGUAAACUUCUUUAGGCGGGGAGCAAAGCCGGGCACGAGUGCCCGGCGGGAGAGUACCCGCAGAAUAAGCAUCGGCUAACUCCGUGCCAGCAGCCUCGGUAAUACGGAGGAUGCGAGCGUUAUCGGGAUUCAUUGGGUUAAAGGGGUGCGUAGGCGGAUUUUUAAGUCAGCGGUAAAAUGUCCGGGCUAAACCCGGGCCGGCCGUUGAAACUGGGGGUCUUGAGUGGACGAGAGGUAUGCGGAAUGCGUGGUGUAGCGGUGAAAUGCUUAGAUAUCACGCAGAACUCCGAUUGCGAAGGCAGCUUACUAAACUGCCACUGACAUUGAUGCUCGAAAGUGUGGGUAUCAAACAGGAUUAGAUACCCCGGUAGUC